RNAcentral lists this transfer RNA (74 nucleotides) under Desulfobacter latus. It matches the Rfam family "tRNA". From Rfam's summary of the family: Transfer RNA (tRNA) molecules are approximately 80 nucleotides in length. Their secondary structure includes four short double-helical elements and three loops (D, anti-codon, and T loops). Lineage: Bacteria; Pseudomonadati; Thermodesulfobacteriota; Desulfobacteria; Desulfobacterales; Desulfobacteraceae. RNAcentral also lists the same sequence under 1 other name. The record is from Rfam by way of RNAcentral.
GGGGGUGUAGUUCAGUUGGUUAGAACGCUAGCCUGUCACGCUAGAGGCCGCGAGUUCGAGUCUCGUCACUCCCG